GCCGCAAGUUUGCAGCAAACAUUGCCGCAAGCUUGCAGCAAACGUUUGCUGCAAACUUGCCACAACCAUUUUACCAUGCAAAUGAAGUUUGCGGCAAACAUAAUUAUGCAAAUUAGAUUUGCCGCAAGCUUGCGGCAAUUGUUUGUGGCAAACUUGCGGC
Molecule: small RNA, 160 nt
Filed under: Mytilus galloprovincialis (Mediterranean mussel)
Lineage: Eukaryota; Metazoa; Mollusca; Bivalvia; Mytilida; Mytilidae
Source: RNAcentral